Long non-coding RNA from Oreochromis aureus, 297 nucleotides. The record is from Ensembl. NCBI's taxonomy places the organism in Eukaryota, Metazoa, Chordata, Actinopteri, Cichliformes, Cichlidae.
CAGCCAGAAGCACAGGCGCUGGUGAAAUGUAGAUGACGUCAGCCAGCAGCGCAGGCCCUGGUAUAAUGUGGAUGGCCUCGGCCAGCACCACAGGGCCUGGUGUGGUGAAGACGGCCUCAGCCAGAAGCACUGGCCCAGGUGCAAUGUGGAUGGCAUCAGCCAGAACCACAGGCCCUGGUGUAAAAUGGAUGGCAUCAGCCAGAAGCACAGGCCCUGGUGUGAUAUUGAUGGCGUCAGCCAGCACCACAGUCUCUGGUGUAAUGUGGAUGGCAUCAGCCAGCACCAGAGGCCCUGGGG